RNAcentral lists this ribosomal RNA (432 nucleotides) under uncultured bacterium. Its description in RNAcentral is "partial 16S ribosomal RNA". It matches the Rfam family "Bacterial small subunit ribosomal RNA", at positions 38 to 507 of the family's 1533-position model. The record is from RNAcentral.
GGGGGGGGGGGGGGGGGGGCGGGGGGGGGGGAGGGGGGGGGGGGGGGCGGGGCUAGGGGCGCACGGGUGCGUAACGCGUGGGAACCUGCCCGUAGGUUCGGAAUAACUCCCCGAGAGGGGUGCUAAUACCGGAUAAUGUCUUCGGACCAAAGAUUUAUCGCCUUUGGAUGGGCCCGCGUUGGAUUAGCUAGUUGGUAGGGUAAAAGCCUACCAAGGCGACGAUCCAUAGCUGGUCUGAGAGGAUGAUCAGCCACCCUGGGACUGAGACACGGCCCAGACUCCUACGGGAGGCAGCAGUGGGGAAUAUUGGACAAUGGGCGAAAGCCUGAUCCAGCAAUGCCGCGUGAGUGAUGAAGGCCUUAGGGUUGUAAAGCUCUUUUACCCGGGAUGAUAAUGACAGUACCGGGAGAAUAAGCUCCGGCUAACUCCGUG